This 92-nucleotide signal recognition particle RNA is filed under the name uncultured Treponema sp. Its description in RNAcentral is "Bacterial small signal recognition particle RNA". It matches the Rfam family "Bacterial small signal recognition particle RNA". Rfam says of the family: The signal recognition particle (SRP) is a universally conserved ribonucleoprotein involved in the co-translational targeting of proteins to membranes. Archaeal SRP consists of a 7S RNA and homologues of the eukaryotic SRP19 and SRP54 proteins. In most bacteria, the SRP consists of a 4.5S RNA and the Ffh protein (a homologue of the eukaryotic SRP54 protein). The record is from RNAcentral. Lineage: Bacteria; Pseudomonadati; Spirochaetota; Spirochaetia; Treponematales; Treponemataceae.
CGGGUCCUAUGCAACGACUCGCUUCAAAACCCCGUCAGAGGAGGAAUCCAGCAGCGGUAUGAAGUUGAGCGUGUGCCGUAGGUAACCCGGUU